This 253-nucleotide ribosomal RNA is filed under the name uncultured bacterium. RNAcentral's name for it is "partial 16S ribosomal RNA". It matches the Rfam family "Bacterial small subunit ribosomal RNA", at positions 524 to 776 of the family's 1533-position model. The record is from RNAcentral.
UACAGAGGGUGCAAGCGUUAAUCGGAAUUACUGGGCGUAAAGCGCGCGUAGGCGGCUUGACAAGUCGCGUGUGAAAGCCCCCGGCUCAACUGGGGAGGGUCACGCGAUACUGAUCGACUCGAAGGCAGGAGAGGGUAGUGGAAUUCCAGGUGUAGCGGUGAAAUGCGUAGAUAUCUGGAGGAACACCGGUGGCGAAGGCGGCAUCCUGGACCGGUAUUGACGCUGAGGCGCGAAAGCCAGGGGAGCAAACGGG